AGGAGUGGAGAGAACCAGCGACUUCUGCAAACUUUGCUAACCGACGCCCCCUCUUCUGUCUUUCCUGAUACCAUCCUGAACAUGUUCUGCAGAGUCUAGGACUUCCUCGCUGACCAGGAGGGGGCGACAGGCCUGCAUGCUGCGGUACUUGACGGUGAACCCGUUUGUGUCUCCUCCUCCUCCUCCUCCUCCUCCCUGGCCUCUGAUUGGCC
Molecule: long non-coding RNA, 212 nt
Organism: Notolabrus celidotus (New Zealand spotty)
Lineage: Eukaryota; Metazoa; Chordata; Actinopteri; Labriformes; Labridae
Exons: 3
Source: RefSeq, a predicted model, not a curated record